CCAGUGGCCACGCAGGCUCCAUACCCCCUGGCUACUUCAUUCACCCCGACACUGGGCGGGUGCUGCCCGAGGCUGGACACCUGGGAUAUGAUCUGCUGAGAGCUACCCUGGUGCCCACUAUGGACUCCAUUGCGGGUGGCGUCCAAACAUCAGAAGCUGCCAUCCUGCCCUAUGUGCCCUACCCAACCAGUCCCGCCACAGGUUCCCCUCCAGCCACGCAUCUGCCCAUCAUGCAGCCAAAAAGGACAUCCCAGUUGGGGGCUCUCAUGACAGACCCCAUCACAGGCAUCGAGGGGCCCAUGCUGGCUGUGACUCUGCACCCCCAAACAAGAAAGUGGCUCACUCUUGGGGGAACAUACUGUAAUCCUCUCACCAAGACCUUGGCCCCUCUGGAGAUGGGGGGCCCCAUGGAGGACCCAGUCACAGGAGGCAUCUCGCCCAUCCUAGGAGUCAGGUUGGAUGAAAACACAGGUCUCCUGGCAGCCCUCAGUGCUGUCCUCCCACACCCUUCUCCAUGCCUGGCCUAGCCUCCCAGUCCCCUCCUCUCGGCCCCCUAUACCUUCCAUGUUCUGGUCCCAGCUGUAAACUCCACCCACCCCCACCCUUUCCACCCUUCCUCCUCACUCUGCCUCUUACCCCUAACCUUCUCUCUCCCCUUCCCCGUCUCUACCCCUAGGGAGGAGAAGAGAAGCAAGGUAGUCCUAUAAAGUUAAUAGAUGCUUUUCAACCAAAAAGGACCAUUGCUCCACCUGUCACCACCAUGCUCCGCCCCCUGCCCUCUCCCUCACCCCCUCCUUUCUUCCUCCCUUCCACCUCCCUCCCUCCCACAGUUCAUCUCCACCCUCGUGCCCUAGUUCCCCUUAUGCCACACCUGCGUGCAUCCCUGCUGCGUCCCUUCCCACCUUGCCCUCUUGGUUCUUGCUUCCAGGUCAGCUGCUUUUACUGGGAGGGCUGCGAGAUGCUUUGGGGAACCUCAUGCUUCCUGGUGACAGCUUUGUAGAGCCACUGAGUGGGAAGACAGUCCGGCUACAGGGGGCUUCUCGACGGGAGGGCCAGACAUUGCCCCAUAUGGGAGGGUCACAGGCCCUGCUGGACACCAAUGUGCUGGUGGCCCAGAGACAAGUGAUUGCAGUGCUCCAGCAGUGCCAGGAGAGUCCAGAGUCGGGGGUGCAGGGGCCUCUGGAGGCUGCCAUCAAGGACAUGAGACAGGCACUGGCCUUGAGUCUGCACCACAUCCUGCAGCAGGCUCGGAGGCUGGAGAGGCAGCUGGCAGCAGUGGAUGACAUUGAAGCCAGUGGCGACAGGAUAGGAAUGAUGCGCUAUCCCGGGACAGAGCUGUGGGUCCCAGCCCUGUAUGGAAUGGAGAUCCCAGAUCCUGAGGGCUCGGGGCUCAUGGUGCCCAUCCUGGGCAUGGAGCAUGAUGAGAAUUUGGGUGAAGCCACACCCCUGGCAGGCUCAAUGGAAGAUGCCCACGGCAAAGGUCUUAUCCCAAUUUCAAUCGGGGCUCAAGCCAUAGACCCCUUGACUGGGGAGCCUGGUCCCGUCAUUGGAGCUCAAAGAGAUCCCUCUUCCAGAGUGGUGGUGCCCAUUGUCCAGGUGCUGGAGUCCUUACCUCGAGGAGUGAGAGACCCUGGUCUGCUGGACACCCUGGAGCAGGAGCUGAGGGCCCGGGAGCAGUACUGGCACCACCAGGAACAGGAGGAGAAGCUGCUACUGGAUCACCUGGGACACCUGAGCCAGGAGCUCCACUUCACUGCAGGCAAUGGCGUGGAGCAGCAGGUGGUUCAUCGUCUCUCUGAUGAGUUUCAGGGGGUAGUGAGAGAGAGACAGAACUUCCUGGCUAGGGCCCUGGGUCAGCUACAGUACCGACAGGAAUGGAGCCGCCUCCAGUUCCUGCACACCCAGAUGAUUGCCUCAGGAACCCCUGUGUGUUUGGAGAAUUACCCUGGACACAUAUUCUAUGGAACAGUCACAGCUUCUGUCAGGGACCUGACUGCUGCCUGUCCCAUGUUGAUCCCUUUUCUGAAGCAACUCGCCACAGCACUAGUCGGAGCUCAAGGGCUGGAGGAUCAGAGGCCAGGAACAGAUACAGAUAAAGCUAACAUCAUCUGGGCUUCACCAUUCUUCUCCAUCCUGAAGAAAACAGACAUCUGGUCCCAAGCCCACAAAGAAGACACUGAACUGCAAAAACAAGUGUAUCACAAACGAGACCCAAAGAGCUCUUUACAGUAUCUUCUAAAACCUCAAACAGUGCAGAAGGAAGAGCUGAUAACUGUGCAACCCAUUGGCCUUUCUGCCAGGGAGUUUGUGGUUUACCAGUACGGCCUCUCCAUCCUGCACCUCCUCAUCCCCCAGCUUCAUGCUCCAGAAAUCACCCUGAAGAUUGCUUCUCAUCUUCCUGCCAUGGAAGCCCAAGGCAGUGCCUUCCAAGAUGGCUUCUUCUGUCAGAGUGCUGAGAACAUAUUGUUCGUUGGGAGAGAGUGCCUGGCCUCUGUGGGAAGCUUUGUUCUGCUGCUGAUCCGCUGCCUGGCCCACAUCACUGCUGGGGAACCCCACCAGGACUCCAACCCUGCCUUUCUGGGGUCAUUUUACAAGGUAUUUAUAACAUAUACAGUGCAU
This 2619-nucleotide long non-coding RNA is filed under the name Saimiri boliviensis boliviensis (Bolivian squirrel monkey). RNAcentral's name for it is "lncRNA (ENSSBOG00000036674.1)". The record is from RNAcentral. Lineage: Eukaryota; Metazoa; Chordata; Mammalia; Primates; Cebidae.